This 257-nucleotide ribosomal RNA is filed under the name uncultured Bacteroidota bacterium. Its description in RNAcentral is "uncultured Bacteroidetes bacterium partial 16S ribosomal RNA". It matches the Rfam family "Bacterial small subunit ribosomal RNA", at positions 28 to 283 of the family's 1533-position model. The record is from RNAcentral. Lineage: Bacteria; Pseudomonadati; Bacteroidota.
GAUGAACGCUAGCGACAGGCCUAACACAUGCAAGUCGAGGGGUAACAUGGCGGGUUUCCGCCGAUGACGACCGGCGCACGGGUGAGCAACGCGUAUGAAACCUGCCCCUGACCGGGGGACAGCCCGGAGAAAUCCGGAUUAAUACCCCGCGGUCCCGCCGCGCCGCAUGGCGCGGCGGGCAAAGCUUCGGCGGUGAGGGAUGGUCAUGCGUGGCAUUAGGUAGUGGUGGGGCAGCGGCCCACCAAGCCGACGAUGCC